AAAGGAAUAGACGGGACCCCGCACAAGCGGUGGAUCAUGUUGUUUAAUUCGAUGAUACGCGAAGAACCUUACCAGGUCUUGACAUCCCCCGCAAAGCUAUGGAGACAUAGUGGAGGUAUUCGGGGAGACAGGUGGUGCAUGGUUGUCGUCAGCUCGUGUCGUGAGAUGUUGGGUUAAGUCCCGCAACGAGCGCAACCCUUAUUGCUAGUUACCAUCAUUAAGUUGGGGACUCUAGCGAGACUGCCAGUGAUAAACUGGAGGAAGGUGGGGAUGACGUCAAAUCAUCAUGCCCCUUAUGACCUGGGCUACAAACGUGAUACAAUGGCUGGAACAAAGGGAUGCGAAAGAGUGAUCUGGAGCGAAACUCAAAAAUACAGUCUCAGUUCGGAUUGAAGUCUGCAACUCGACUUCAUGAAGUCGGAAUCGCUAGUAAUCGCGGAUCAGAACGCCGCGGUGAAUACGUUCUCGGGGUUUGUACACACCGCCCGU
This 489-nucleotide ribosomal RNA is filed under the name uncultured bacterium. RNAcentral describes it as "bacterial SSU rRNA". It matches the Rfam family "Bacterial small subunit ribosomal RNA", at positions 903 to 1397 of the family's 1533-position model. The record is from RNAcentral.